RNAcentral lists this long non-coding RNA (248 nucleotides) under Bos indicus x Bos taurus (hybrid cattle). Its description in RNAcentral is "lncRNA (ENSBIXG00005016709.1)". Lineage: Eukaryota; Metazoa; Chordata; Mammalia; Artiodactyla; Bovidae. The record is from RNAcentral.
UAUUCUUGUCUGGAAAACUCCAUGGACAGAGGAGCCUGGCGGGCUGCUGUCCACGGGUCUCAAAGAGUCGGACACAACUGAGAGACUGAACACAGCUCAGCACAGUCUUUCAAGUUUGGGUACUGCUGCCUGUCUUAGCGAAGCUGAAGUUGUGAUGGAGAUGGGUUAUAACUUGAUAUUUGAAGUACUUGCUCAAGAUAACACAGAGCUGGGACCCUGAGAAUAAAAGGACCCAGUGUUGACUGGAG